GAUGAAGAACGCAGCGAAAUGCGAUAAGUAAUGUGAAUUGCAGAAUUCAGUGAAUCAUCGAAUCUUUGAACGCACCUUGCGCCCUUUGGCUAUUCCGAAGGGCAUGCCUGUUUGAGUAUCGUGAACACCUCAACUCCCAUGGUUUGCCAUGAUGAGCUUGGACUUUGGGGGUUUUGCUGGCCUUUGGUCGGCUCCUCUCAAACGGAUCAGCUUUCCAGUGUUUGGUGGCGUCACGGGUGUGAUAACUAUCUACGCCUGUGGUUUUCUGCCAGAUAACCUUCAGCGAUGGAGGUUCGCUGGGGCUCAUAAAUGUCUCUCUUCAGUGGAGACAGCUUUUUGGACGUUUGAUCUCAAAUCAGGUAGGACUACCCGCUGAACUUAAGCAUAUCAAUAAGCGGAGGA
RNAcentral lists this unclassified non-coding RNA (402 nucleotides) under soil metagenome. RNAcentral's name for it is "partial contains 5.8S ribosomal RNA, internal transcribed spacer 2, and large subunit ribosomal RNA". The stretch from base 1 to 121 matches the Rfam family "5.8S ribosomal RNA", at positions 35 to 154 of the family's 154-position model. The record is from RNAcentral.